RNAcentral lists this transfer RNA (65 nucleotides) under Marmota marmota marmota (Alpine marmot). It matches the Rfam family "tRNA". From Rfam's summary of the family: Transfer RNA (tRNA) molecules are approximately 80 nucleotides in length. The record is from Rfam by way of RNAcentral. Lineage: Eukaryota; Metazoa; Chordata; Mammalia; Rodentia; Sciuridae. RNAcentral also lists the same sequence under 3 other names.
GGUGUAGCUCAGUGGUAGAGCAUGUGCUUAGUAUGCAUGAGGCCUUGGGUUCAAUCUCUAGCACC